Molecule: long non-coding RNA, 249 nt
Filed under: Trifolium pratense (red clover)
Lineage: Eukaryota; Viridiplantae; Streptophyta; Magnoliopsida; Fabales; Fabaceae
Description: long non-coding RNA (TPRA_LNC005340)
Source: RNAcentral
UUACCAUUUCACACUUUUUCCGCAUAAUGUCUUUUAUCAAAUCAACUUCGGUUCCACGAACUCUCUAUUGUACUACCCAAAUAUUUUCACCAUAAAGAUGCUUAAUCUGACCGGUUGUACUUGACACAUGGGAGAUUGAAAACACACCCUCUCCAUACCUUACUUGCCGAGAGCACAUUUUUUCAAUUCGGUUCCUCAUCCGACAUGAGUCACCAUCUCCAUUUUGCUAGUAGUGUUUUAUUAAAAAAA